GCUUGUGUGGCUCAGUGGAUAGAGCAUUGGCCUGUGGACUGAAGGGUCCCAGGUUCAAUUCCAGUCAAAGGCA
Molecule: transfer RNA, 73 nt
Filed under: Myotis davidii
Lineage: Eukaryota; Metazoa; Chordata; Mammalia; Chiroptera; Vespertilionidae
Rfam family: tRNA
About the family: Transfer RNA (tRNA) molecules are approximately 80 nucleotides in length. Their secondary structure includes four short double-helical elements and three loops (D, anti-codon, and T loops).
Source: Rfam by way of RNAcentral